AUACUUACCUGGCACAGGAGAUACCGUGAUCACGAAGGCGGUUCUCCCAGGGCGAGGCUCACCAUUGCACUCCGGUGGGGCUGACCACUGCGAUUAACCCAAAUGUGGUUAACUCGAGUGCGCAAUUUUUGGUAGUGGGGGACUGCGUUCGCGCUAUCCCCCU
RNAcentral lists this small nuclear RNA (163 nucleotides) under Penaeus japonicus. RNAcentral describes it as "U1 spliceosomal RNA". It matches the Rfam family "U1 spliceosomal RNA". Rfam says of the family: U1 is a small nuclear RNA (snRNA) component of the spliceosome (involved in pre-mRNA splicing). Its 5' end forms complementary base pairs with the 5' splice junction, thus defining the 5' donor site of an intron. Lineage: Eukaryota; Metazoa; Arthropoda; Malacostraca; Decapoda; Penaeidae. The record is from RNAcentral.